Molecule: ribosomal RNA, 602 nt
Filed under: uncultured bacterium
Lineage: Bacteria
Description: bacterial SSU rRNA
Rfam family: Bacterial small subunit ribosomal RNA
Source: RNAcentral
CAAAGGUUAAUUCCGGUGGCGGAUGGGCAUGCGUCGCAUUAGUUAGUUGGCGGUGUAACGGACCACCAAGACGACGAUGCGUAGGGGUUCUGAGAGGAAGGUCCCCCACACUGGUACUGAGACACGGACCAGACUCCUACGGGAGGCAGCAGUGAGGAAUAUUGGUCAAUGGGCGGGAGCCUGAACCAGCCAAGUCGCGUGAGGGAUGACGGCCCUAUGGGUUGUAAACCUCUUUUGCCGGGGAGCAAAGUGCCGCACGUGUGCGGUUUGGAGAGUACCCGGAGAAAAAGCAUCGGCUAACUCCGUGCCAGCAGCCGCGGUAAUACGGAGGAUGCGAGCGUUAUCCGGAUUUAUUGGGUUUAAAGGGUGCGUAGGCGGACGCUUAAGUCAGCGGUAAAAUUGCGGGGCUCAACCUCGUCGAGCCGUUGAAACUGGGUGCCUUGAGUGGGCGAGAAGUACGCGGAAUGCGUGGUGUAGCGGUGAAAUGCAUAGAUAUCACGCAGAACUCCGAUUGCGAAGGCAGCGUACCGGCGCCCAACUGACGCUGAAGCACGAAGGCGUGGGUAUCGAACAGGAUUAGAUACCCUGGUAGUCCACGCAGU